GAAUUGCAGGGGAUUUGGCCAUCACCCCAUUGAUUGAGAGUUGGUUCAGUUGAUCAGUUUAUCCAGGUGGGUGUUCCUCCCCCCUUCACCAUUCACGUGUGUCCAUCCUAAAGCUGUACCCUUGGUGGAAGAGGACAACCAUCCCAGACAGAAGGAUUAUGCCAAUCUUUGGUCAAGGGUGUAUAAUAUUUGAGUUCUCCUCCUGGAACCUCCCAGCAAGGUUAUAGGAAGAGUUCUGAUUUCCAGCCAAAUUCUGACUAGGAAUUUAAGGCAGGAAUACUAUCUGUGGUUGAAAAUGUGGGUUCCCACUUUUU
This 314-nucleotide small nuclear RNA is filed under the name Ophiophagus hannah (king cobra). RNAcentral's name for it is "7SK RNA". It matches the Rfam family "7SK RNA". Rfam says of the family: 7SK was discovered as an abundant small nuclear RNA in the mid-70s but a possible function has only recently been suggested. Two independent studies have found that 7SK RNA binds the CDK9/cyclin T complex (known as elongation factor P-TEFb). P-TEFb activates transcription by phosphorylating the C-terminal domain of RNA polymerase II. Lineage: Eukaryota; Metazoa; Chordata; Lepidosauria; Squamata; Elapidae. The record is from Rfam by way of RNAcentral.